AGAGUGGAAACUGAAGAGCCAUUAUUUUACUGGUUAUGCCGUUUGCUACAUAUCAGUGCUACUACUGUUAAUUAUAGGAAGUCUUGCACUUUCAUGUGGAUUCAGAACAAUACCAUGAAACUCCUGAGUGCAGUUAUUUUGGACCAAUUAACUUCAACCUCUUAACAACUUCAGAAAGCACGUGCUGUUUCCCAAGAUGUGCUAGUAAUGAGUGAAUUUACUUCCCAUCUUUCCAUUUCACUUUCAUGCUUCAGGAAUUAAGAUGCCAAAGACUGCUGAAUUUUUCCAAAUACCAGCAAACAAAAUGACAGUGAAAUGUUUUAAGAUUUGUUGCUUUCUGCCACAACUGACAAGUACUUUAGAAAAAUAUACUCAGGAUAAUAAGUGUUGUCUAUAAAAUAUUGAAAACUAACAUUAAGCUAAAUGUGGAGACGAAGUUAAAGAACAUGGUAUGAAUGAAAAAUACUUUUUCAAAGAUAAUUUUCUGGCCACUGCUCUUUGAAAGGAGGUGUGCCUUUCCAAGUGCUUUAUGGUCAGUUUCCCACAGAGGUUAUCAAGCUCCAGUGCUUCU
This is a long non-coding RNA of Oxyura jamaicensis (ruddy duck), 571 nucleotides long. RefSeq lists it as uncharacterized. NCBI's taxonomy places the organism in Eukaryota, Metazoa, Chordata, Aves, Anseriformes, Anatidae. The transcript is spliced from 3 exons. The record is from RefSeq and is a predicted model, not a curated record.